UUUGAAGUUAGGAGUACGAGUGUGUGCAACUGUAACGCAAUGUUGGGAGGGGUAUCCAAAACCUUCACACAUUUGAUGGGAGGAUCUUUCCCAUUCAUCUCAACAACAAAAGAAACCAAAAUCAAACGUCCACCAACUAACCUCUCUUUUCCAUUCAAUGGCUGUCGUUGCACCACUUCCCAUUCAUCUCAACAACAAAAGAAACCAAAAUCAAACGUCCACCAACUAACCUCUCUUUUCCAUUCAAUGGCUGUCGUUGCACCACUUCCGCGGCUCAGCUUCCCCUCUCUGAGUCAGCAACUCCCGGUCAGUUCCGAGUCGACAUCCUCUCGGAAUCGCUUCCUUUUAUCCAAAAAUUCCGAGGCAAAACCAUCGUCGUCAAGUACGGUGGCGCCGCCAUGAAAUCACCGGAACUCCAGGCCUCCGUCAUUAACGAUCUUGUCCUUCUCUCCUGCGUCGGCCUCCGUCCUGUCAUGGUUCACGGUGGCGGUCCUGAGAUCAACCACUGGCUCAGCCGUCUCAACAUUCAAGCCGUUUUCCG
Molecule: long non-coding RNA, 541 nt
Filed under: Cicer arietinum (chickpea)
Lineage: Eukaryota; Viridiplantae; Streptophyta; Magnoliopsida; Fabales; Fabaceae
Description: long non-coding RNA (CARI_LNC001571)
Source: RNAcentral